AGCCCUCAACAGCCAAUCAGGAGCUACGCUGUUGACGUUGAGCUUGUUAGUGUACAGGUGAAGCACGGAUUUCCUCGGUCGUGUAUCAGCAGAAAAUAAGGAAGCGAUUUGCAAAAGCGAUUUCAUGUAGGAAAUGAGAAAACCAAGUACAAGUACAAUGUGAAAGCAGACAGAUAAACCUGCGCGAGUAUCAAGAGCCAAGUGACAGAAUGAAGGAGCCGAGUUACGUCGUUAUUACCCUCCAUUCUGUGAGCCGAUACAGGCCCCAACAUCAGGUCCUCAGAUUGAAACAGAACAACGUUGAGAAAGGUUGUUGAGAGGACGGGAAAGUUCAAGGACAAGGACGAGAUCCCAGUCGUAUUUGAUGGCGUGCUAUUAACCCUGAAGGAGAAGACACAGAGGCGAUACACACACACACACACACACACACACACACACACACAAACACAAACUUUUAAAAACAGGUGAACAUCCAUCAGUAUAUUUACUGACAACAUAUAUUUAAUUUGAUUCCAAGUGUGCACACGUUUUGUUUCUGAUUAUCUGGGUCAUUAUUUUCUUGUAUAAAUGGUUUUUUCCAUUGCUGUAAAAUUAUAAGAGUAACUACUCAGCG
Long non-coding RNA from Cynoglossus semilaevis (tongue sole), 613 nucleotides. RefSeq lists it as uncharacterized. The record is from RefSeq and is a predicted model, not a curated record. The transcript is spliced from 3 exons. Lineage: Eukaryota; Metazoa; Chordata; Actinopteri; Pleuronectiformes; Cynoglossidae.